RNAcentral lists this ribosomal RNA (78 nucleotides) under Paenibacillus polymyxa. RNAcentral's name for it is "partial 23S ribosomal RNA". RNAcentral also lists the same sequence under 2 other names. Lineage: Bacteria; Bacillati; Bacillota; Bacilli; Caryophanales; Paenibacillaceae. The record is from RNAcentral.
AGGUAGAUAGGUUGGGGGUGGAAGUGCAGUAAUGCAUGGAGCUGACCAAUACUAAUCGGUCGAGGGCUUAUCCUAAAA